AGUGAACGCUGGCGGUAGGCCUAACACAUGCAAGUCGAACGGCAGCACAGUAAGAGCUUGCUCUUACGGGUGGCGAGUGGCGGACGGGUGAGGAAUACAUCGGAAUCUACUUUUUCGUGGGGGAUAACGUAGGGAAACUUACGCUAAUACCGCAUACGACCUACGGGUGAAAGCAGGGUAUCUUCGGACCUUGCGCGAUUGAAUGAGCCGAUGUCGGAUUAGCUAGUUGGCGGGGUAAAGGCCCACCAAGGCGACGAUCCGUAGCUGGUCUGAGCGGAUGACACGCCAAACGGGAAUGAGAAACCGGUCAGACCUCCUAGGGAGGGCAGAGGGGGGGAAUUUUGACAAAGGGGGGAAACCUGAUCCAGCCAAACCGGGUGGGGGAAAAAGGCCCUUGGGUUGGAAAGCCCUUUUUUUGGGAAAAAAAAACAGGAGGGUAAAACCCCCCUGUUCUGACGGUACCCAAAAAAAAAGCACCGGCUAAAUUCGUG
This 491-nucleotide ribosomal RNA is filed under the name uncultured bacterium. Its description in RNAcentral is "partial 16S ribosomal RNA". It matches the Rfam family "Bacterial small subunit ribosomal RNA", at positions 29 to 507 of the family's 1533-position model. The record is from RNAcentral.